This 492-nucleotide ribosomal RNA is filed under the name uncultured bacterium. RNAcentral describes it as "partial 16S ribosomal RNA". It matches the Rfam family "Bacterial small subunit ribosomal RNA", at positions 29 to 507 of the family's 1533-position model. The record is from RNAcentral.
AGUGAACGCUGGCGGUAGGCCUAACACAUGCAAGUCGAACGGCAGCACAGUAAGAGCUUGCUCUUACGGGUGGCGAGUGGCGGACGGGUGAGGAAUACAUCGGCAUCUACUUUUUCGUGGGGGAUAACGUAGGGAAACUUACGCUAAUACCUCAUACGACCUACGGGUGAAAGCAGGGGAUCUUCGGACCUUGCGCGAUUGAAUGAGCCGAUGUCGGAUUAGCUAGUUGGCGGGGUAAAGGCCCACCAAGGCGACGAUCCGUAGCUGGUCUGAGAGGAUGAUCAGCCACACUGGAACUGAGACACGGUCCAGACUCCUACGGGAGGCAGCAGUGGGGAAUAUUGGACAAUGGGCGCAAGCCUGAUCCAGCCAUACCGCGUGGGUGAAGAAGGCCUUCGGGUUGUAAAGCCCUUUUGUUGGGAAAGAAAAGCAGCAGGUUAAUACCCCGCUGUUCUGACGGUACCCAAAGAAUAAGCACCGGCUAACUUCGUG